Molecule: ribosomal RNA, 394 nt
Filed under: uncultured bacterium
Lineage: Bacteria
Description: bacterial SSU rRNA
Rfam family: Bacterial small subunit ribosomal RNA
Source: RNAcentral
AUAUUGGACAAUGGGCGCAAGCCUGAUCCAGCCAUGCCGCGUGAGUGAUGAAGGCCUUAGGGUUGUAAAGCUCUUUCGCACGCGACGAUAAUGACGGUAGCGUGAGAAGAAGCCCCGGCUAACUUCGUGCCAGCAGCCGCGGUAAUACGAAGGGGGCUAGCGUUGUUCGGAUUAACUGGGCGUAAAGGGUGCGUAGGCGGGUUUUUAAGUCAGGGGUGAAAUCCCAAGGCUCAACCUUGGAACUGCCUUUGAUACUGGGAAUCUUGAGUCCGGGAGAGGUGAGUGGAACUGCGAGUGUAGAGGUGAAAUUCGUAGAUAUUCGCAAGAACACCGGUGGCGAAGGCGGCUCACUGGCCCGGAACUGACGCUGAGGCACGAAAGCGUGGGGAGCAAA